GACGAACGCUGGCGGCGUGCCUAAUACAUGCAAGUCGAGCGAGCUUGCCUAGAUGAUUGGAAUGCUUGCAUUUCAUGAAACUAGAUACAAGCGAGCGGCGAACGGGUGAGUAACACGUGGGUAACCUGCCCAAGAGACUGGGAUAACACCUGGAAACAGAUGCUAAUACCGGAUAACAACACUAGACGCAUGUCUAGAGUUUGAAAGAUGGUUCUGCUAUCACUCUUGGAUGGACCUGCGGUGCAUUAGCUAGUUGGUAAGGUAACGGCUUACCAAGGCAAUGAUGCAUAGCCGAGUUGAGAGACUGAUCGGCCACAUUGGGACUGAGACACGGCCCAAACUCCUACGGGAGGCAGCAGUAGGGAAUCUUCCACAAUGGACGCAAGUCUGAUGGAGCAACGCCGCGUGAGUGAAGAAGGGUUUCGGCUCGUAAAGCUCUGUUGUUGGUGAAGAAAGAUAGAGGUAGUAACUGGCCUUUAUUCGACGGUAAUCAACUAGAAAGUCACGGCUAACUACGUGCCAGCAGCCGCGGUAAUACGUAGGUGGCAAGCGUUGUC
This 557-nucleotide ribosomal RNA is filed under the name uncultured bacterium. Its description in RNAcentral is "bacterial SSU rRNA". It matches the Rfam family "Bacterial small subunit ribosomal RNA", at positions 28 to 545 of the family's 1533-position model. The record is from RNAcentral.